This 48-nucleotide transfer RNA is filed under the name Tylototriton podichthys. RNAcentral's name for it is "partial tRNA-Cys". Lineage: Eukaryota; Metazoa; Chordata; Amphibia; Caudata; Salamandridae. The record is from RNAcentral.
CUUCUCCCGCUUGUGGGGGGGAAAAGCGGGAGAAGCCCCGGCAGAAGU